Small nuclear RNA from Hyla sarda, 191 nucleotides. RefSeq annotates it as U2 spliceosomal RNA. Lineage: Eukaryota; Metazoa; Chordata; Amphibia; Anura; Hylidae. The transcript has a single exon. The record is from RefSeq and is a predicted model, not a curated record.
AUCGCUUCUCUGCCUUUUAGCUAAGAUAAAGUGUAGUAUCUGUCCUUAUCAGUUUAAUAUCUGGUAUGUACCCUAUCUGGGGACCAUAUAUUAAAUGGAUUUUUGAGAACUGGGGCCAAUUUUGAAGCUUACUUCCGUCCCCCUAUGCAUUGAACCAAUGUGGUAGUAUCUUCGAGGACAGUGCACAAAAA